RNAcentral lists this ribosomal RNA (506 nucleotides) under uncultured bacterium. RNAcentral's name for it is "partial 16S ribosomal RNA". It matches the Rfam family "Bacterial small subunit ribosomal RNA", at positions 29 to 523 of the family's 1533-position model. The record is from RNAcentral.
AGUGAACGCUGGCGGUAGGCUUAACACAUGCAAGUCGAACGGCAGCACAGGAGAGCUUGCUCUCUGGGUGGCGAGUGGCGGACGGGUGAGGAAUACAUCGGAAUCUACUCUGUCGUGGGGGAUAACGUAGGGAAACUUACGCUAAUACCGCAUACGACCUACGGGUGAAAGCAGGGGACCUUCGGGCCUUGCGCGAUUGAAUGCGCCGAUGUCGGAUUAGCUAGUUGGCGGGGUAAAGGCCCACCAAGGCGACGAUCCGUAGCUGGUCUGAGAGGAUGAUCAGCCACACUGGAACUGAGACACGGUCCAGACUCCUACGGGAGGCAGCAGUGGGGAAUAUUGGACAAUGGGCGCAAGCCUGAUCCAGCCAUACCGCGUGGGUGAAGAAGGCCUUCGGGUUGUAAAGCCCUUUUGUUGGGAAAGAAAUCCAGCUGGCUAAUACCCGGUUGGGAUGACGGUACCCAAAGAAUAAGCACCGGCUAACUUCGUGCCAGCAGCCGCCGUAA